GCGGAGGAAAUGAAAAUAACAAUGAUUUCCCUAGUAACGGCGAGUGAAGAGGAAAGAGCUCAAAGUUGGAACCUGUUUGGCCUAGCUAAACAGGAUUGUAAACUGUAGAAGUGUUUUCCAGGCAAUCCGAGUUAAUAAGUCCUUUGGAACAGGGCAUCAUAGAGGGUGAGAAUCCCGUCUUUGAUUCGAGAUAUUUUGUCUUUUGCGAUACACUUUCAAAGAGUCAGGUUGUUUGGGAAUGCAGCCUAAAUUGGGUGGUAAAUCUCACCUAAAGCUAAAUAUUGGCGAGAAACCGAUAGCGAACAAGUACCGUGAGGGAAAGAUGAAAAGAACUUUGAAAAGAGAGUUAAACAGUAUGUGAAAUUGUUAAAAGGGAACCGUUUGGAGCCAGACUGGCUUGUCUGUAAUCAAUCUAGGUUUCGUGCCUGGAUGCACUUGCAGACUAUUUGCCUGCCAACGACAAUUUUUUUUGAGUGUAAAAACUAUUGGAAAUGUGGCCAAUAUUUAUUUAUUGGUGUUAUAGUCCUUUAGAAAAUACCUUGAAUUGGAUUGAGGAACGCAGCGAAUGCUUCUCUUUUGAGGCAAAGUCUUUUAUUGGGAUUUACGGAUCAGACUGUGGCAUUGUCAC
Molecule: ribosomal RNA, 628 nt
Filed under: Rhizopus stolonifer
Lineage: Eukaryota; Fungi; Mucoromycota; Mucoromycetes; Mucorales; Rhizopodaceae
Description: eukaryotic LSU rRNA
Rfam family: Eukaryotic large subunit ribosomal RNA
Source: RNAcentral